GGAUCAUAUAAAUUUGCAAGAAUAGAACUAGUUUCACAAUAUUUUUCCUUGUUUAUCCUAUCUCCAUCCGAUUCUUCAUUGUGCUCUUCACUAGAUAUUAUUUCAGUAGAUGUUUGAAUACUACUAUGAAUUUGGUUGUCAAUUUCAUUUUGUUUCGUUCUUUUUAUGUCAUUUUCUAACUCUAUUUCGGGUGCAUGCUCUGUUGUUAAUUCUUGAGUUGAAUUUGA
RNAcentral lists this long non-coding RNA (227 nucleotides) under Phoenix dactylifera (date palm). Its description in RNAcentral is "long non-coding RNA (PDAC_LNC004557)". Lineage: Eukaryota; Viridiplantae; Streptophyta; Magnoliopsida; Arecales; Arecaceae. The record is from RNAcentral.